Molecule: ribosomal RNA, 681 nt
Filed under: Escherichia coli
Lineage: Bacteria; Pseudomonadati; Pseudomonadota; Gammaproteobacteria; Enterobacterales; Enterobacteriaceae
Description: bacterial SSU rRNA
Rfam family: Bacterial small subunit ribosomal RNA
Source: RNAcentral
CUGGCGGCAGGCCUAACACAUGCAAGUCGAACGGUAACAGGAAGCAGCUUGCUGCUUCGCUGACGAGUGGCGGACGGGUGAGUAAUGUCUGGGAAACUGCCUGAUGGAGGGGGAUAACUACUGGAAACGGUAGCUAAUACCGCAUAACGUCGCAAGACCAAAGAGGGGGACCUUCGGGCCUCUUGCCAUCGGAUGUGCCCAGAUGGGAUUAGCUAGUAGGUGGGGUAACGGCUCACCUAGGCGACGAUCCCUAGCUGGUCUGAGAGGAUGACCAGCCACACUGGAACUGAGACACGGUCCAGACUCCUACGGGAGGCAGCAGUGGGGAAUAUUGCACAAUGGGCGCAAGCCUGAUGCAGCCAUGCCGCGUGUAUGAAGAAGGCCUUCGGGUUGUAAAGUACUUUCAGCGGGGAGGAAGGGAGUAAAGUUAAUACCUUUGCUCAUUGACGUUACCCGCAGAAGAAGCACCGGCUAACUCCGUGCCAGCAGCCGCGGUAAUACGGAGGGUGCAAGCGUUAAUCGGAAUUACUGGGCGUAAAGCGCACGCAGGCGGUUUGUUAAGUCAGAUGUGAAAUCCCCGGGCUCAACCUGGGAACUGCAUCUGAUACUGGCAAGCUUGAGUCUCGUAGAGGGGGGUAGAAUUCCAGGUGUAGCGGUGAAAUGCGUAGAGAUCUGGAGGAA